GUCCACACCCUAAACGAUGAUAACUCGUUGUUGGCGAUACACAGUCAGCGACUAAGCGAAAGCAUUAAGUUAUCCACCUGGGGAGUACGGUCGCAAGACUGAAACUCAAAGGAAUUGACGGGGGCCCGCACAAGCGGAGGAGCAUGUGGUUUAAUUCGAUGAUACGCGAGUAACCUUACCUGGGCUUGAAAGUUAGUGAAUGACGCAGAAACGUGUCAGCUCGAAAGAGCACGAAACUAGGUGCUGCAUGGCUGUCGU
Molecule: ribosomal RNA, 258 nt
Filed under: uncultured bacterium
Lineage: Bacteria
Description: partial 16S ribosomal RNA
Rfam family: Bacterial small subunit ribosomal RNA
Source: RNAcentral